CCACGGUAGGAGAUGAUCGAUAAAUUCGAACCAGAACGACGGAACUGACAAGUGAUCGUUCAGCAUCCACCGGAUUCGAAGACUCGAUUGUGAAGUAACUAUUACAAGUGAAGAUGCCGGGACCAGGUUGCGAUAAGUGCACAGACAAGUGCCAACAAUGUCAGUGCGGCGACAAAUGCAAGUGUUGCGAUUCCGGAUGCGGAGAUAAUUGCAACUGCAAAUCUGGCGGACAAUGUGGUUGCAAGUCUUGCAAAUGCUAAACACCAAGCUGGAUACUAACCUGAAAAUGGAUGCUGCAAGAUCUUAGACGUUCUUAUCUACCUAGGCCGAUUGCAUUAUCAUUAUCAAUUAAUAUUAUGAAAGUAAUAUCCAUGAAAAGAUCAACUACUAGUAUUAUAUAAGCAGCCAUUAUAUUGAAUAAAAGUAUUAAAUGUUA
Eufriesea mexicana is the source of this 436-nucleotide long non-coding RNA. RefSeq lists it as uncharacterized. Lineage: Eukaryota; Metazoa; Arthropoda; Insecta; Hymenoptera; Apidae. The transcript has 3 exons. The record is from RefSeq and is a predicted model, not a curated record.